GGUGAACGCUGGCGGCGUGCCUAAUACAUGCAAGUCGAGCGAACGGACGAGAAGCUUGCUUCUCUGAUGUUAGCGGCGGACGGGUGAGUAACACGUGGAUAACCUACCUAUAAGACUGGGAUAACUUCGGGAAACCGGAGCUAAUACCGGAUGAUAUUUUGAACCGCAUGGUCCAAAAGUGAAAGACGGUCUUGCUGUCACUUAUAGAUGGAUCCGCGCUGCAUUAGCUAGUUGGUAAGGUAACGGCUUACCAAGGCAACGAUGCAUAGCCGACCUGAGAGGGUGAUCGGCCACACUGGAACUGAGACACGGUCCAGACUCCUACGGGAGGCAGCAGUAGGGAAUCUUCCGCAAUGGGCGAAAGCCUGACGGAGCAACGCCGCGUGAGUGAUGAAGGUCUUCGGAUCGUAAAACUCUGUUAUUAGGGAAGAACAUAUGUGUAAGUAACUGUGCACAUCUUGACGGUACCUAAUCAGAAAGCCACGGCUAACUACGUG
This 497-nucleotide ribosomal RNA is filed under the name uncultured bacterium. RNAcentral's name for it is "partial 16S ribosomal RNA". It matches the Rfam family "Bacterial small subunit ribosomal RNA", at positions 28 to 507 of the family's 1533-position model. The record is from RNAcentral.